This is a long non-coding RNA of Nerophis ophidion (straightnose pipefish), 419 nucleotides long. RefSeq lists it as uncharacterized. The record is from RefSeq and is a predicted model, not a curated record. The transcript has 3 exons. Lineage: Eukaryota; Metazoa; Chordata; Actinopteri; Syngnathiformes; Syngnathidae.
CUCUUGUAUAUUUGCAGACAGCCAGGCUCUCAAAGAUUGGUGGAUAUGACUUAAAGAGCUGUUUAAGCAGCAUCGUGGACAGGCUCAUGACAAAUGAAUUAAUGUCCAAUCUGAACAUGAAGAGGAGGGGGGAAAAACUGCCUUUGCCGAGACGAAGCUGCUCGAUGUAGUCACAGCUAGUGUCUUAGAUACCCAGAAGGGGACCGAAACGAUGGUCCAUGAUGCCAUAAAAAAAUGAACUGAAAUAUGCCCCUGGACAGAAGGGAGGAAUAGGUUGGGCAUCACAGGCUAAAUAAAUAAUUAUAUCGAUUGACAUUCUCCAUUUUCUUUGUACUUAAUUUUAAUUUUGCAUUAACAGGAUUCAGCCUGGAGCUAUAAAUGCGCUAUGUUUUGUUGUCUUUAAUUAUAUUGAUGUAUUG